This 1128-nucleotide ribosomal RNA is filed under the name Staphylococcus pseudintermedius. Its description in RNAcentral is "partial 23S ribosomal RNA". It matches the Rfam family "Bacterial large subunit ribosomal RNA", at positions 1239 to 2365 of the family's 2925-position model. The record is from RNAcentral. Lineage: Bacteria; Bacillati; Bacillota; Bacilli; Caryophanales; Staphylococcaceae.
UUCUAAGGGCGUUGAAGCAUGAUCGCAAGGACAUGUGGAGCGCUUAGAAGUGAGAAUGCCGGUGUGAGUAGCGAAAGACGGGUGAGAAUCCCGUCCACCGAUUGACUAAGGUUUCCAGAGGAAGGCUCGUCCGCUCUGGGUUAGUCGGGUCCUAAGCUGAGGCCGACAGGCGUAGGCGAUGGAUAACAGGUUGAUAUUCCUGUACCACCAUUAUUCGUUUUAAGCGAUGGGGGGACGCAGUAGGAUAGGCGAAGCGUGCUGUUGGAGUGCACGUCCAAGCAGUGAGAUUGAGUGUUAGGCAAAUCCGGCACUCUUAAGAUUGAGCUGUGAUGGGGAGAGGAACUUGUUCCUCGAGUCGUUGAUUUCACACUGCCGAGAAAAGCCUCUAGCUAGAAUAACGGUGCCCGUACCGCAAACCGACACAGGUAGUCAAGAUGAGAAUUCUAAGGUGAGCGAGCGAACUCUCGUUAAGGAACUCGGCAAAAUGACCCCGUAACUUCGGGAGAAGGGGUGCUCUUUGAGGUUCACGCUUCGAAGAGCCGCAGUGAAUAGGCCCAAGCGACUGUUUAUCAAAAACACAGGUCUCUGCUAAACCGUAAGGUGACGUAUAGGGGCUGACGCCUGCCCGGUGCUGGAAGGUUAAGAGGAGUGGUUAGCGCAAGCGAAGCUACGAAUCGAAGCCCCAGUAAACGGCGGCCGUAACUAUAACGGUCCUAAGGUAGCGAAAUUCCUUGUCGGGUAAGUUCCGACCCGCACGAAAGGCGUAACGAUUUGGGCACUGUCUCAACGAGAGACUCGGUGAAAUCAUAGUACCGGUGAAGAUGCCGGUUACCCGCGACAGGACGGAAAGACCCCGUGGAGCUUUACUGUAGCCUGAUAUUGAAAUUCGGUACAGUUUGUACAGGAUAGGUAGGAGCCUUAGAAGCGUGAGCGCUAGCUUACGUGGAGGCAUUGGUGGGAUACUACCCUAAUUGUAUUGGAUUUCUAACCCGCAGCACUUAUCGUGCUGGGAGACAGUGUCAGGCGGGCAGUUUGACUGGGGCGGUCGCCUCCUAAAGAGUAACGGAGGCGCUCAAAGGUUCCCUCAGAAUGGUUGGAAAUCAUUCAUAGAGUGUAAAGGCAUAAGGG